Molecule: ribosomal RNA, 757 nt
Filed under: Bacillus cereus
Lineage: Bacteria; Bacillati; Bacillota; Bacilli; Caryophanales; Bacillaceae
Description: bacterial SSU rRNA
Rfam family: Bacterial small subunit ribosomal RNA
Source: RNAcentral
UACAUGCAAGUCGAGCGAAUGGAUUAAGAGCUUGCUCUUAUGAAGUUAGCGGCGGACGGGUGAGUAACACGUGGGUAACCUGCCCAUAAGACUGGGAUAACUCCGGGAAACCGGGGCUAAUACCGGAUAACAUUUUGAACUGCAUGGUUCGAAAUUGAAAGGCGGCUUCGGCUGUCACUUAUGGAUGGACCCGCGUCGCAUUAGCUAGUUGGUGAGGUAACGGCUCACCAAGGCAACGAUGCGUAGCCGACCUGAGAGGGUGAUCGGCCACACUGGGACUGAGACACGGCCCAGACUCCUACGGGAGGCAGCAGUAGGGAAUCUUCCGCAAUGGACGAAAGUCUGACGGAGCAACGCCGCGUGAGUGAUGAAGGCUUUCGGGUCGUAAAACUCUGUUGUUAGGGAAGAACAAGUGCUAGUUGAAUAAGCUGGCACCUUGACGGUACCUAACCAGAAAGCCACGGCUAACUACGUGCCAGCAGCCGCGGUAAUACGUAGGUGGCAAGCGUUAUCCGGAAUUAUUGGGCGUAAAGCGCGCGCAGGUGGUUUCUUAAGUCUGAUGUGAAAGCCCACGGCUCAACCGUGGAGGGUCAUUGGAAACUGGGAGACUUGAGUGCAGAAGAGGAAAGUGGAAUUCCAUGUGUAGCGGUGAAAUGCGUAGAGAUAUGGAGGAACACCAGUGGCGAAGGCGACUUUCUGGUCUGUAACUGACACUGAGGCGCGAAAGCGUGGGGAGCAAACAGGAUUAGAUACCCUG